Molecule: ribosomal RNA, 293 nt
Filed under: uncultured bacterium
Lineage: Bacteria
Description: partial 16S ribosomal RNA
Rfam family: Bacterial small subunit ribosomal RNA
Source: RNAcentral
GUGCCAGCCGCCGCGGUAAGACGAACCGUGCGAACGUUAUUCGGAAUCACUGGGCUUAAAGCGCGUGUAGGCGGAUGAGCACGUCUGUCGCUGAAAUCCCCCGGCUCAACCGGGGAACGGGCGCGGAUACGGCUUGUCUGGAGGGGUGUAGGGGGACCUGGAACUUCCGGUGGAGCGGUGAAAUGCGUUGAGAUCGGAAGGAACGCCCGUGGCGAAAGCGAGGUCCUGGACGCCUACUGACGCUGAGACGCGAAAGCCAGGGGAGCGAACGGGAUUAGAAACCCUUGUAGUCC